RNAcentral lists this non-coding RNA (24 nucleotides) under Arabidopsis thaliana (thale cress). The record is from RNAcentral. Lineage: Eukaryota; Viridiplantae; Streptophyta; Magnoliopsida; Brassicales; Brassicaceae.
UACCGCGACCACGACCACGACCAC